Molecule: ribosomal RNA, 460 nt
Filed under: uncultured bacterium
Lineage: Bacteria
Description: partial 16S ribosomal RNA
Rfam family: Bacterial small subunit ribosomal RNA
Source: RNAcentral
CCUACGGGUGGCAGCAGUGAGGAAUAUUGGUCAAUGGUCGGGAGACUGAACCAGCCAAGCCGCGUGAGGGAGGAAGGUACAGAGUAUCGUAAACCUCUUUUGUCAGGGAACAAAGUCUGGGACGCGUCCCCGGAUGAGUGUACCUGAAGAAAAAGCAUCGGCUAACUCCGUGCCAGCAGCCGCGGUAAUACGGAGGAUGCGAGCGUUAUCCGGAUUUAUUGGGUUUAAAGGGUGCGCAGGGGGGUUGUUAAGUCAGGUGUCAAAGCCCGGGGCUCAACCCCGGGCUGGCGGUGGAUAUUGGCAGUCUCGAGUUGGAGAGAGGUAUGCGGAAUGCGUGGUGUAGCGGUGAAAUGCAUAGAUAUCGCGCAGAACUCCGAUUGCGAAGGCAGCAUGCCGGCUCCACACUGACGCUGAGGCACGAAAGCGUGGGUAUCGAACAGGAUUAGAUACCCGAGUAGUC